GACGGGACCCGCACAGCAGCGGAGCAUGUGGUUUAAUUCGAAGCAACGCGAAGAACCUUACCGAGGGCUUGACAUGCCACUGACCGCGCCAGAGAUGGUGUUUUUACCUUCGGGUACAGUGGACACAGGUGGUGCAUGGUUGUCGUCAGCUCGUGUCGUGAGAUGUUGGGUUAAGUCCCGCAACGAGCGCCAACCCCUAUUUUUAGUUGCCAUCAUUAAGUUGGGCACUCUAGAGAGACUGCCGAUGACAAAUCGGAGGAAGGUGGGGAUGACGUCAAAUCAUCAUGCCCUUUAUGCCCUGGGCUACACACGUGCUACAAUGGUCGGUACAGCGAGGAGCAAACCAGCGAUGGCAAGCAAAUCUCUAAAAGCCGAUCCCAGUUCGGAUUGCAGGCUGCAACUCGCCUGCAUGAAGUCGGAGUUGCUAGUAAUCGCGGAUCAGAAUGUCGCGGUGAAUGCGUUCCCGGGUCUU
RNAcentral lists this ribosomal RNA (472 nucleotides) under uncultured Eubacteriales bacterium. RNAcentral describes it as "bacterial SSU rRNA". It matches the Rfam family "Bacterial small subunit ribosomal RNA", at positions 916 to 1381 of the family's 1533-position model. Lineage: Bacteria; Bacillati; Bacillota; Clostridia; Eubacteriales. The record is from RNAcentral.